GUAGGGUUUGGGGAGGGAGCUGUGUGGUGUUUCUUGUGCUUGGAAAAUACAAAGCUGAGAACCACAGCACACAUGGGUGGUGCCCUUCCAGGUGAAGGACCUUCCUGGAGCAGAGCCCCUUCGCUUUCAGAAGGGCCGGGUUGAGUUUGAGAACGUGCACUUCAGCUAUGUCGAUGGGUGAGGCCUUCCUUUGGCUUCCUUUGCUUUUCCGUUCAUUUGCACACUGCCUUCCUGCUUCUCACUGCUCUGAAUCCCUGCUUUUGGAAGAGAGCCUGGGCAGGGGAGGGGCAGGGCCUACUAGCAGCUCUGGUGAUGGAAGGUGCCUGCUGAGCAACCCACCCUUCCUUGUAGGCAGGAGACUCUGCAGGACGUGUCUUUCACUGUGAUGCCUGGACAGACACUUGCCCUGGUGGGCCCAUCUGGGGCAGGGAAGAGCACAAUUUUGCGCCUGCUGUUUCGCUUCUAUGACAUCAGCUCUGGCUGCAUCCGAAUAGACGGGCAGGACAUUUCACAGGUGACCCAGGCCUCUCUCCGGUCUCACAUUGGAGUUGUGCCCCAAGACACUGUCCUCUUUAAUGACACCAUCGCUGACAAUAUCCGUUACGGCCGUGUUACAGCUGGGAAUGAUGAGGUGGAGGCUGCUGCUCAGGCUGCAGGCAUCCAUGAUGCCAUUAUGGGUUUCCCUGAAGGGUACAGGACACAGGUGGGCGAGCGGGGACUGAAGCUGAGCGGUGGGGAGAAGCAGCGCGUCGCCAUUGCCCGCACCAUCCUCAAGGCUCCGGACAUCAUUCUGCUGGAUGAG
Molecule: small RNA, 802 nt
Filed under: Pongo abelii (Sumatran orangutan)
Lineage: Eukaryota; Metazoa; Chordata; Mammalia; Primates; Hominidae
Description: retained intron
Source: RNAcentral